CAGAGAACAUCGCCCUCACGGGUGACUCUCCAACCCUAUGUUAUUAAACCUUUGUUGCUUUGGCGAGCCGCUUCGGCCACCGGCGUCUGCUGGUGUGCGCUCGCCAGAGGACCUCAAACUCUGUUUAUUAGUGUCGUCUGAGUACUAUAUAAUAGUUUA
Molecule: unclassified non-coding RNA, 159 nt
Filed under: uncultured Helotiales
Lineage: Eukaryota; Fungi; Ascomycota; Leotiomycetes; Helotiales
Description: sequence contains ITS1
Source: RNAcentral